AUUGAACGCUGGCGGCAUGCCUUACACAUGCAAGUCGAACGGCAGCACGGGGGCAACCCUGGUGGCGAGUGGCGGACGGGUGAGUAAUGCAUCGGAACGUGCCCUGAAGUGGGGGAUAACGCAGCGAAAGCUACGCUAAUACCGCAUAUUCUGUGAGCAGGAAAGCAGGGGAUCGCAAGACCUUGCGCUUUGGGAGCGGCCGAUGUCGGAUUAGCUAGUUGGUGGGGUAAAGGCCUACCAAGGCGACGAUCCGUAGCGGGUCUGAGAGGAUGAUCCGCCACACUGGGACUGAGACACGGCCCAGACUCCUACGGGAGGCAGCAGUGGGGAAUUUUGGACAAUGGGCGAAAGCCUGAUCCAGCCAUGCCGCGUGAGUGAAGAAGG
Molecule: ribosomal RNA, 384 nt
Filed under: uncultured bacterium
Lineage: Bacteria
Description: bacterial SSU rRNA
Rfam family: Bacterial small subunit ribosomal RNA
Source: RNAcentral